CAGAGAGCCGUUUGAGUCAGCCAAACCUAACAUAGUCGGUUGCAGAUCUGGGAGUGUGGUGGGAGGUGGCGCAGGGAUUUCAGAGGGCAGGAUGGUCAACGGCGAGGUCAAGUUCAGGGCCGGCGGACACCGGCCGAUGAAGGAUCGACGGUGCAAGGUGCUCAAAGACGUCUUAGGGUGGCAAUGCCCCCUUACUAUUGACGAACUGAAAACUCAGCAUGAUGAGAAAUGUGAAUAAUCUGGAUUUCUGAAAAGACAUUCUGACAACUGUCUUUGUUUAGAAAGUUGACAUUUUCAUCAGAGGUGCCUCCUGGAAAAUCCAUUACAGAUUCCCAAACUGCUGAUUACACACGACCUGAGCAGAAUUCUAAGGGUGGGUGACAGAGUGCUUUAGGUCAAAAGGAGGUCACACCUAAUGUCUCGAGCUAAAGUGAAUUUAUCUAGAAAGAAGGGGGGGAAAAGUUUCAUAAUCUGGAAUUUGAGGGGUACUGGGAAAAAUAAUAGAAUUUCUGAGAUAGUCUUAAGAAAGAAAUGGUGGCUGAAAUAAGAAAGAAUGCAAAAUGA
This is a non-coding RNA of Odocoileus virginianus texanus, 564 nucleotides long. The record is from RefSeq and is a predicted model, not a curated record. Lineage: Eukaryota; Metazoa; Chordata; Mammalia; Artiodactyla; Cervidae.